GACGAACGCUGGCGGCGUGCCUAAUACAUGCAAGUCGAGCGGAGUAAAAGCGUGCUUGCACGGUUUUAUUAGCGGCGAACGGGUGAGUAACACAUAGGUAACCUGGCCAUAAGACAGGGAUAACGCACGGAAACGUGAGCUAAAACCAGAUAGGCAUUUCCACGCAUGAGGGAGAUGAGAAAAGGCGGAGCAAUCUGCCGCUUAUGGAUGGACCUGCGUCGCAUUAGCUAGUUGGAGUGGUAAAGGCACACCAAGGCGACGAUGCGUAGCCGACCUGAGAGGGUGAGCGGCCACACUGGGACUGAGACACGGCCCAGACUCCUACGGGAGGCAGCAGUAGGGAAUCUUCCGCAAAUGGACGAAAAGUACUGACGGAGCAACGCCGCGUGAGUGAAGAAAGGUUUCGGUA
This 409-nucleotide ribosomal RNA is filed under the name uncultured bacterium. RNAcentral describes it as "bacterial SSU rRNA". It matches the Rfam family "Bacterial small subunit ribosomal RNA", at positions 28 to 423 of the family's 1533-position model. The record is from RNAcentral.